RNAcentral lists this ribosomal RNA (404 nucleotides) under uncultured Novosphingobium sp. RNAcentral's name for it is "bacterial SSU rRNA". It matches the Rfam family "Bacterial small subunit ribosomal RNA", at positions 355 to 776 of the family's 1533-position model. The record is from RNAcentral. Lineage: Bacteria; Pseudomonadati; Pseudomonadota; Alphaproteobacteria; Sphingomonadales; Sphingomonadaceae.
UGGGGAAUAUUGGACAAUGGGCGCAAGCCUGAUCCAGCAAUGCCGCGUGAGUGAUGAAGGCCUUAGGGUCGUAAAGCUCUUUUACCCGGGAUGAUAAUGACAGUACCGGGAGAAUAAGCUCCGGCUAACUCCGUGCCAGCAGCCGCGGUAAUACGGAGGGAGCUAGCGUUGUUCGGAAUUACUGGGCGUAAAGCGCGCGUAGGCGGUUAUUCAAGUCAGAGGUGAAAGCCCGGGGCUCAACCCCGGAACUGCCUUUGAAACUAGAUGACUAGAAUCUUGGAGAGGUCAGUGGAAUUCCGAGUGUAGAGGUGAAAUUCGUAGAUAUUCGGAAGAACACCAGUGGCGAAGGCGACUGACUGGACAAGUAUUGACGCUGAGGUGCGAAAGCGUGGGGAGCAAACAGG